CCUACGGGUGGCAGCAGUGGGGAAUAUUGGGCAAUGGGCGCAAGCCUGACCCAGCAACGCCGCGUGAAGGAAGAAGGCUUUCGGGUUGUAAACUUCUUUUCUCAGGGACGAAGAAAGUGACGGUACCGUAAGAAUAAGCCACGGCUAACUACGUGCCAGCAGCCGCGGUAAUACGUAGGUGGCAAGCGUUAUCCGGAUUUACUGGGUGUACAGGGCGAGUAGGCGGGAUUGCAAGUCAGAUGUGAAAACUAUGGGCUCAACCGAUAGAGUGCAUUUGAAACUGCAGUUCUUGAGUGAUGGAGAGGCAGGCGGAAUUCCCGGUGUAGCGGUGGAAUGCGUAGAUAUCGGGAGGAACACCAGUGGCGAAGGCGGCCUGCUGGACAUUAACUGACGCUGAGGCGCGAAAGCGUGGGGAGCAAACAGGAUUAGAUACCCCAGUAGUC
Molecule: ribosomal RNA, 443 nt
Filed under: uncultured bacterium
Lineage: Bacteria
Description: partial 16S ribosomal RNA
Rfam family: Bacterial small subunit ribosomal RNA
Source: RNAcentral